AACAUCGCCUCUUGCCCCCAUAAGAGGUCCAGCCUGCCCAGUGACCUAGUUCAACGGCCGCGGUAUCCUAACCGUGCAAAGGUAGCGUAAUCACUUGUUUUUUAAAUAAAGACUAGUAUGAAAGGCACCACGAGAAUUAAACUGUCUCCCUUUUCUAAUCAAUGAACCUAAUACCCCCGUGAAAAAGCGGGGAUUUCACAAUAAGACGAGAAGACCCUAUGGAGCUUUAAACAUCAUAAUCACCUGCCCACAAACCAAAAAACUCAGGUUCCAUGCCCAAACCCAUUAUGAUUAUAUGUUUUUGGUUGGGGUGACCGCGGAGAAAAACCUAUCCCCCGCGAUGAAAAUAACUACCCAAACAACAAGCCACAGCUUUAUGCAUCAACAAAUUGACACCAUUGACCCAAUAUAUUGAUUAACGAACCAAGUUACCCUAGGGAUAACAGCGCAAUCCACUUCAAGAGCUCCUAUCGACAAGUGGGCUUACGACCUCGAUGUUGGAUCAGGGUAUCCUGGUGGUGCAGCCGCUACUAAGGGCUCGUUUGUUCAACGAUUAAAACCCCACGUGAU
RNAcentral lists this ribosomal RNA (570 nucleotides) under Pristimantis buccinator. Its description in RNAcentral is "partial 16S ribosomal RNA". It matches the Rfam family "Bacterial large subunit ribosomal RNA", at positions 1812 to 2604 of the family's 2925-position model. Lineage: Eukaryota; Metazoa; Chordata; Amphibia; Anura; Strabomantidae. The record is from RNAcentral.